CAACGCGAAGAACCUUACCUACUCUUGACAUCCACAGAAUUCGGCAGAGAUGCCUUAGUGCCUUCGGGAACUGUGAGACAGGUGCUGCAUGGCUGUCGUCAGCUCGUGUUGUGAAAUGUUGGGUUAAGUCCCGCAACGAGCGCAACCCUUAUCCUUUGUUGCCAGCGCGUAAUGGCGGGAACUCAAAGGAGACUGCCGGUGAUAAACCGGAGGAAGGUGGGGAUGACGUCAAGUCAUCAUGGCCCUUACGAGUAGGGCUACACACGUGCUACAAUGGCGUAUACAAAGAGAAGCGAACUCGCGAGAGCCAGCGGACCUCAUAAAGUACGUCGUAGUCCGGAUCGGAGUCUGCAACUCGACUCCGUGAAGUCGGAAUCGCUAGUAAUCGUAGAUCAGAAUGCUACGGUGAAUACGUUCCCGGGCCUUGUACACACCGCCCGUCACACCAUGGGAGUGGGUUGCAAAAGAAGUAGGUAGCUUAACCUUCGGGAGGGCGCUUACCACUUUGUGAUUCAUGACUGGGGUGAAGUCGUAAC
Molecule: ribosomal RNA, 536 nt
Filed under: Serratia sp. 2593
Lineage: Bacteria; Pseudomonadati; Pseudomonadota; Gammaproteobacteria; Enterobacterales; Yersiniaceae
Description: bacterial SSU rRNA
Rfam family: Bacterial small subunit ribosomal RNA
Source: RNAcentral